AAGAAAAUAUUGAUUGAUUUAGCUGCUCUAGUUUAAUUUAGUAAAGGACAAGAUUGCGUUUCCAGGGCUACAAUCCAAAAUCGCCAAUUAUUGACGUGUUUGGAAUCUUGGCAACAUAAUGAACACAGUUUUCUGGAUUUAUCUUUUUCUGCUCAAAUGAAAGAUUUGACAAAAGUAUGUUUGUCCACCACAUGCAUAUGUACAAAAUGAGCUUGAAACAAAGCAACAAUGCCUCUCCCCAUUUGGGGGGCCAGCAUUGUCUGUUCUCCAACUUUUAUCAUUGGGCAAAAGGUGCUUUCACCCCUUUGGAUAGCACGUUGGCCCCAUUCAAGCCAUCAUUUCUAUUCCUCAUUCUGAGCAUGGU
RNAcentral lists this long non-coding RNA (364 nucleotides) under Physcomitrium patens. RNAcentral's name for it is "long non-coding RNA (PPAT_LNC004790)". Lineage: Eukaryota; Viridiplantae; Streptophyta; Bryopsida; Funariales; Funariaceae. The record is from RNAcentral.